RNAcentral lists this transfer RNA (72 nucleotides) under Capra hircus (goat). It matches the Rfam family "tRNA". From Rfam's summary of the family: Transfer RNA (tRNA) molecules are approximately 80 nucleotides in length. Their secondary structure includes four short double-helical elements and three loops (D, anti-codon, and T loops). Further hydrogen bonds mediate the characteristic L-shaped molecular structure. tRNAs have two regions of fundamental functional importance: the anti-codon, which is responsible for specific mRNA codon recognition, and the 3' end, to which the tRNAs corresponding amino acid is attached (by aminoacyl-tRNA synthetases). tRNAs cope with the degeneracy of the genetic code in two manners: having more than one tRNA (with a specific anti-codon) for a particular amino acid; and 'wobble' base-pairing, i.e. permitting non-standard base-pairing at the 3rd anti-codon position. Lineage: Eukaryota; Metazoa; Chordata; Mammalia; Artiodactyla; Bovidae. The record is from Rfam by way of RNAcentral. RNAcentral also lists the same sequence under 1 other name.
UCCCUGAUAGCUCAGUUGGUAAAGAAUCUGCCUGCAAUGCAGGAGACCCGGGUUCGAUCCCUGGGUUGGGAA